GACGAAGGGGGCUAGCGUUGCUCGGAAUCACUGGGCGUAAAGGGUGCGUAGGCGGGUCUUUAAGUCAGGGGUGAAAUCCUGGAGCUCAACUCCAGAACUGCCUUUGAUACUGAAGAUCUUGAGUUCGGGAGAGGUGAGUGGAACUGCGAGUGUAGAGGUGAAAUUCGUAGAUAUUCGCAAGAACACCAGUGGCGAAGGCGGCUCACUGGCCCGAUACUGACGCUGAGGCACGAAAGCGUGGGAGCAACAGGG
This 252-nucleotide ribosomal RNA is filed under the name uncultured bacterium. RNAcentral describes it as "partial 16S ribosomal RNA". It matches the Rfam family "Bacterial small subunit ribosomal RNA", at positions 524 to 776 of the family's 1533-position model. The record is from RNAcentral.